RNAcentral lists this long non-coding RNA (6669 nucleotides) under Homo sapiens (human). Its description in RNAcentral is "MBNL1 antisense RNA 1, transcript variant 1 (MBNL1-AS1)". The record is from RNAcentral. Lineage: Eukaryota; Metazoa; Chordata; Mammalia; Primates; Hominidae.
AGGCAGCCCAGCUAAACAUGUCAUGCGUAAUUUAUGGGUAGCAAGCAGAGAAUUAACCUUUGCGUGCACAUAUUUGGCCCAGAUGAAAACCGGGCGGGAUGGCAGCCCCGGGGCCAGGGAUGCGGGAGCCGCCGGGAAGACCCGCGCGCCGCUCGACUCAGAGGGACUCACACCUUCCCCCGACAAAGGUCAUUAAGUUAGGCGGCCCCACUGUCGACCAAGUGCCCAAGGCAUUGUGGGAGUCAUGAUUCCAAGAUGCCCGCGACGGAAAAUGGAACUUGUCAGCUCCUUGUCAUGGGAGCAUUGUGGGCGCCACAACUCAUUCAGCUGCAGUGAAAAGACUGUUGCAUGUCGCUGUGCAGCCUCUUAUCGCCGAGGUCUGGCUUCCGCUGCUGCUGCGCGGCCCCUCCCCCGCCCGCCCAGCCCCACCAGGAAGCCCAGGGCGGACUCGUCGAGCUCCUAAUGCACGCGGCGGCGAGAAAAACGCUCUUCAACUUUCCGCCGGCGCCCUCCCGCGCUUCCCCGGGCCACAGGGUCGCCUGUCAACCGGACAGAGCCCGCAAGAGCGGGUCAUGGGCGGUCGCCCAGCGGCGCCGAGAGCAGGAGGAAGCCGGAGCCCGCGCGGGCGCCGUGGAUCCCCUCGGCCUCCCGUUGGUAUCUUCCAUCUCAUGCGUUCAGCAUUGUAACCUCGCGGCGGGCGUGCAGACCGGACGCCCUCCCGCUUCUUCUACCGACUGCUAGGCACACCAGUGGGUUCAUUUUGAAAGAGGCCCUUGCACCGGGCUUUGCAAGGAAGCCGGCAAGGUUAGAUUGAAGGUUAGAAGCCAAUUAGACUAGAAUCCUGCGAUCUGGUGAGACUGCCGCCUUAAAAUGCACCAAACAGUUUUUGAACCUGGAGGGCUAACAGGCGGGAAAAACAUCUGCAAGACUGCCACCGUGUAUUUUUCUCAAGUAACAGGCUAUCCACAGUUUUGGAAUUCCUUAGUGAAACUGUCACACAGGCACAAACACAUGUCAGCUUUCCUUCUAGUUUGUAAAUAAUAUUUGUAAUUUACAGGCCACUGUAUUCCCAACUUUGCACCAUGUGAUUUAGAGAAAGCAAAGCUCCCUCUUUAAAAAUAAUAUGUUACUUCUGAAAUACCGGGAUAUUCCACGGCAAGUAAGCCAUAUUGUCGCCAGAGCAAAUAAACCGCAGCCCCAUAUCAUAAUUCACUGGGUGCUAUAAGAUGUAACUUGGCUUUGCUUUGAAUGGAAAGAAUCCUGAACGUCUGUGAUGUGAUGAAGUUUUGGAGACUGGGGGCAGGAUUUCCUUUGAAUGUAAGGAAUUCGGAUAACUUGUUCAAGGAUGAUUCUAGUGAAAAACGUUUGUCCCAUGUUUGUUGGGACAAAAAUGCUGGAUAUGGUACAACAUUCUUCCUGCAGGUUCGGUUUUGUUGAAGAGAGUGAGGCCAGCUCGAGGUGAAGGAAAAACAUCAGAAAGGUGCUAAAGUGCAGAAAUAUCUUCCAGAGGCACUAAUAGCCGACUUUAGUUCUUGACCUUUAGCUAGAUCCACAAAGCACUGAGUUAAAAUUGUACACUGAUCCCUUCCAGAACAAAUUAAUUAAUUAAAUGGUGCCUCUUCCCAGCGUUAAUCGUUUAAAAGGACUCAAGUACCCACACAGUUUAAGCAAACUAAAAGAACACUGACACUUUCUCAGAGAACAGGGAUGGGAACUUUCUAUCUGCCCAUUAGUAUCUACCCCAAGCUACGAAGACUUCCAUUCCUCUUAUUAAGCAUUCAGCAACUACAUUUAGUGCCUACUAUGCCAGUGAUGCAAGAAUGGAUAAGACAGUCCCUACACUCAAGGAUAACGCCUCUAGUAGGUGAGAGACAAACCGAUUAAUUCUGCAUAAGGGAUAAGUGCUGUAUGUGGGAAGCAAUCCAAUGAGGGCUCUGAGGAUGGCAAAGGAAGGGUUCCUGGAGGAUUUACAUUUAACUGGUGCCUUGAAAGGUGUGUAGAAGUUGGCAAGAUCAAAAGGGAGUAGAGUCCAGGUGGAGAAGAGAAAAGAGCAGGGCAGGCUGGAUGGCAUGGCUCACACCUGUAAUCCCAGCACUUUGGGAGGCCAUGGAGGGAGGAUUGAGGCCAGGAGUUUGAGACCAGCCUGGGUGACAUUAAAAGACCCUGUCUCAAAGAAAACGAAAGGAGCAGGGUAUAUACAAGGGGUCUGCCAGCCUUCUCAGCCUUUCUGUGAGAAGCGAGGGUAGGGUAGUACAGGAGAGUGGCAGGAGAUGACACUAAAAGUAGGUCUGUGUUGAUCUAACGAGUCUCAACUUUACUGCCAAAACUAAUGAACUAGGAAAGUUUAGGCAGCAAGGGCCAGAGAUGGAGUCUGGACUUGUAUUGCAGAAAGUUCCUGUGACGGCAGCUUGGAGGGUGAAUGAGAGUGUGGGAUGGAGGGGUGAAUGGGUGUGGACAGACUGGAAAAAUGACUCAUGCAGGGAAUGAGGAAGGGAGGAGCCUUGGGAGACUCUCAAAUCCCUGGCUUAGCCUACUGAAUUGCUUGCUACUUGCCUUUUUAUGUCUUCAUUUUGCCUCCCAUUGUCUGUGAUAUUAAAGGCCUAACUUCUUAGUAGAGCAAACUUUGCAUCUGCUAGCAGGUUGGUGCCCUAGCUAGCUUCCAUGCCCCUCUGCUUAGAAUGCCUGCGAACCACUAAGGACUAAUCCUAGUGGUAGAAAUUUAUUUUCAAUUGUUCUCAAACCCUUGUAGAAUUCCAAGUUAGAACUGUAGUGUUCUUUUUUCAUGUGGGUUAGAAAAUUUGCUGUUUGGAGCAACAUGGUGAAACACAGGACUUUUGAACCUGCUUAUGGUGCAAAAGGGGAAAUUAUAUUUCUACUUCAACACUGGAGGAGGGGGGACUUCUGGGAGCAAAAGAGAAAUGGAAACUGAGAUGAGACAUGUUUUUUACUCCAUGACAGAAUACAAAGAAAUACAAGGAUGAUCCUUUAAUGUUAGAAACAGUAGAAUAACCAUCCUGGUAAAUAAAAAAGGAGAAAAAAUGUUAUUUUACAUUAGAUACAGAAAAACAGAAUGGCUAAGAAAACUCACAAAGCAAUGGUCAAUCUAUAACUCGAGUCCAAAUAAAUUGUGAUAUAACACUAAAUUACCACUGAUUUGGCCUAAUUGACUAUCACUGGAUAACAUUAUAACAUGAAUGAUAAUAUUUAAAAUUUUAAAGCACUGUAACAAACACCAGAUCAUGUUAAAACUAUUCAAUCAUGUUGUCAGCUUUCAACUGCCAGUAGCAUCCUAACCACAUUUCAAACUAUGGAAAUUACUAAAAAAUCAUUAUUGUAAUAAAAAGUUAAUAGUUCCUCAUUUAGAAUACCAUUGAUAUUCCCUCAGUGCCAGGAGAACAUUAUGGUUUCUCCUAUUUCUGUGAAGUGUAUAGUCUACAGGUUCAUAAGUGAGUAUAUCCAUGAGUAUAAAAAGAAGGUCAUUUAUGGGUGGAGAGGGAAAUUAUAGAAAACAAUUUCAGAUGAAAUAAACUACAUUUUCAGAUAAAGGAAAGAGUGUUCACUGCAGGUUCCUGAAAUAUUUCAGUCCAUUCAAGUUUUAAUUAUACCAAUGAAUCUCAAUAAAAAUACAGUUAAGGAAUAUGGUUUUUAUAGAUAAUGUCAGCUCCUUGUUUACCAAUAAUAAAGAUAAAGAUAAUGGCAGCAUUUAUCUUUUUCAGUCCAAUGGGGAUAUUUAAGGUACCUAUGUAAGUGUGUGAGUGCCUGUGUGAAUUGUGACUUACUUCUUCUGCAUACCACAUUCAUAGCUCAAUAAGCUCUCACUGCCUCUGCAAUAUAACUUGUCUUUCCUGACACACACACACACACACACACACACACACACACACUCUCACACAAACAAAUCACCUAAAUAAAAAUAUCUCAAGGAGGUAUACUCUUUUAAAAUGCUAUUUUUAUUAUACCAGGAUAAAAAUAAUUGAUUGAAAGAUGGUGUCAAAACCAGAACCUAGUCUCAUGUCCUGUGCUUCCUAAUCAAUAUUUAAAUAUAGAUGGUCAAGAGAAGAUGACUCUAAAAGGCAAUCAAAAGUUGCAAACAUUCUUGUAUGGAGAAUCAAGUUUAAGUAGAUGCAUUAAAUUUAUCACAUUAAACUUCACAACAGGGUUGAGGAGAGAGGUGAGACCUUCUUUUGUAGAAUUCAAACUUGUUCAGAUAUUUGAAUACAUAUACUUGAGAGAAAGAAUUACAUGAAUUUAGUUUAUCUUCAAGGACCUUUAUAUAUUUCAUACACAACACAAUUUCUUUGUGCUCAUUAUUUAAAAAUAAAAAUAUGUAUUCUAAUAGAUACUAUGUAUAUAUUUGAUAUAUAAUACAAUAUAUUGUAUGUAUAACACGUAUAUUGCACAUGAAUGUGAAAAUAUAUAAAAUCAAUAUAUUUGCUACUAAAUGUUUAUGAAAUUUAAAGCAGUUAAAUAUUAUGCAUUUCUCAAUUAAGUUAUUUUACCUAAAAGUUGAAUCUGUAUCUUCAAUAUCAUUAUUUUAGGAUCUGGCAAUAGAGAGACAGUAAGCAAAUACAUUUUGAAAUUAAAAGUUCAAAAUCAUAGAAUUUUAGCAUUGAAUGGAAUGUUAGAGAGCAUCUGGCCUUGUUCCCUUGUUAAACCAGAGGAGUGCAUUAUUUAAGGAACUUGGCACCAUGGCAGAGCAGAACUGACAUCAGUGUCUUCUGACUCUCUCAGGCCAUUCAUUUUCAUUGUCUUUUUUUUUUUCUUAAAGACAAUAAGGACAAGAAGAAGCUCUAAAAUAGGCCUAACAGUUUCCCCAGUUUAAUGUAAGGAGGUGCUACAUGAGAUUUCCAAGAGUAUAGUUCUUCCUUCCUCUGUUUCUUCCUUCUUUCAUUUUUUCCUUCUUUUAUUCUUUCUAUUUUUUCAUCCUUUCUUUCUUCUUUCCAUACAGAAAACACUUUUCACACAAUGACUCUAUUCAUUUCACAAACAUUUAUUGAGCAUCAGCCAUGGCUAACUCCUAUUCUAGGUACUGUGGUUACAGAAAUGAACAGCACAGAUAAAUCACUUCCCUCAAAGGGGUUGCAUUCUACUAGGGGGAGACAAGCAACAAAAAAUAAGUCAAAAAUAAAAAAUAAAAGAUAAACAUAUGAGGUAAUUUCAGAUGGAGAUAAGCGCUAUGAAAUAAAGCAGGUUGGGGGGAUUUGGGAGAGAAGGUUGUGUGAAACAGGAUGGAGGACUGAGCUGGUCAUAUGCAGGCAAGGUUCUCGGUGAAGUGAGAAAUAACUGGGGAAAGAGCAUUCAAAGCAGUGGGGACUGCAUGGCAAGAGCCCUAAGGCCAGGGUUCAUGGUAGGGCUAGAGAGCCAAUGGUGAACAAAAACUACCUAACCUCAAGGAGCUUACAGUCAAGGAAGAGGGAAAAAAUGAAUCUCCAUCAAAUUAAUCACACUCAAAAUGCAAAGCUACAACCAUGAUACUUUUCCUCACUGGGAACCAUUGAAGUGUUUGAUUAUGUUAGAGGCAGGGGUGGGGUGGGGUGAUGGAACAUUAUCUAAAUUUUGUUUUCACAAAGAUAACUAGAUAACUCUUGACUGCUGUGUAAAGGCUGAUAGUCUAAUCUCAGAAGAGACUGCAUGAAGUCCACCACUGCUGAGAAUGACAGCAAACCAAAAGUGGGCUCUGUCUAGGAGGCAACAGACAGCAAAUGGCUGGGGACCCAGCAGCGGAAUGUGAUUUGGUUGAAGACCCUCGGCAAUGGGGUACAACAAACCUUAGAACCUUACAUCUCAGAGUUGAAGAGAAGCCAUAAGACUCAUGAUCCUCGAGAUAACAUAACUUGAGGGAAGGGAGAUGUGGUAUGCCUGUUUGUGUGUGACUUAUUUAUUAUUUGGAGUCAACACAAUGUAGAAAAUUCGAAAUUAGUGAAGGUAGAAUAUUUUGAUAUCAGCAGUGUUUCCAGUUCCCAGAGAUAGGGAACUGUUUGUAUUACAGUUUAUUUCCUUCUAGGCUUUUCCAAUGCAUUUUUAAAAGCAUAGUUAAUAUUGUACUAUAUAUGCAAUUUCUUUUCCAAAUUUAAUCUUUUAAGACAAUCUUAUAAAACAAAGGCCACCUCCCCCAUGUCAUUUAUAUAUAAUCUUCAUUUUUCAUGAGGUAAUGGAAGCUGGAGAGUUGGCCCUUGACCAAAGCCUUGCAGCUAACAAGAGGACAAGCCUCCUGCCCCACAGUGUUUCACAGCCAGUACCCCAAGCUCCUGAAUUCAUCUGUCUAAUGUGUAAUAUAUUUAUAAACACUCUACCUGGGAUGUAUGCGUACCUUCUACUAUGGACUGUUGUUAAAGACAAGUAAAUAUGCAAUCGUGGUCUUUCAAUAAACUAAACGGAUAUAAAAAUAAAUAUAGAAUACAGCCAGAAGAUCAAAAUUGACAUAUUAUCUAUUUAUGCUUAUAAUAUGUAAUUACAUGUAAUAUUGUAAAACACUUUCUACCAUUUCAUAAAAUUCUGUGUUGUUAUUUAGCCCAGAAUUCCCUUGCAAUCUUUUAAAAAUAGUAUCUAAUAGGGCUUUUAAUAUAAAUGUCGUAGUGAAACUGUUUUAUGUACUGUAACCCAAACAUUUCUACGUAGUAACACUGUUCCAUAUAGAAAACAAAUAUGAAAAAAUAAAAAAAAAAAAAA